GCCAGGACAAGGGCUGAACCAGACCUGGGAGGGAGGAGAUGGAGACCCAGAGAAAGGUGGUCUGAUCACGUGUUGGCGAAACCGUCAGGCGCAGUGCUGCGAACAGAGGGAGGAAUGCGGGUGCUCACCUGUCUACAGAGGUGACGGGUUUAUCAUGGCAAAGGACCCUGCAUGGAGCUACGCCUGAAUUGUGGUCCAAAUGUCAGUUGGCAGAGUUGGAACGGGAAAAGUUCUAUUGCCUCCAGAGGAAAUGCACGAGGGCUAGACAAGACAUUUCUGAAGGGUCCCUCAGCCCGUCAAGUGGCCCUGGAUGGCUGGAAGAGCACUCAGAGGUCAUGAACUUGCCUGGAACCUUGCCCCACCUCAUCCUUUGUCUGACCACAGCAGGACCCAAUCAAAGUCCCCUUGGCCUACUCCACAGUCCACCUCUGCAGUGAGAUACCGGGAGCAGCCCAUUUCUGCAGGAUGGAGAUAUUUCCGAUGCCUCUCCUCCUUUGACAUCUUCCCAAUUCUCUUCAAUAUACUUUCUUAACUACAAAUGGAUUCUCAUGGCUGGUCCUACCUGACUCUACACACAAUCCUGGGGCUGGUGGUAGCCCUCACUCUGUAGACCAGACUGGCCUCAAACUCACAGAGAUCCCCCUGCCUCUGCCUGGGCCUACCUCUGUGCUGGGAUUAAAGGUAUGGGCCACCACAACCUGGCCCAACAAUGACUCUUAAACCCAGCUCCCUCUCCUGGCCACUGGAGGUCUAUUGGCACAUCACUUUCUGUGUUACUGACCCAGAUUCUCUGCCCCUCUGACUCUCUCAGGCUACAAGGUAGACCCUUCUCUAGACCCUCAAAACAGUGAAUGCGACAACCUCUUGCCCAUUCUCCCAAACCAGAGACACAAACAUCAGUCUCGCCUCUUCCCAGCUCCGUGUUCUGUCAGUCCUAUUUUUUAAGCAGUUGUCUGUCAGCUGUCCUCUCCACUCUCCCCAUGUGAGAUGGCUACAUCUCCCCUGUUACAGACUCCUGGCCUCAGGGCCAGUUGUGCCAACUCGGAUCUUUUCCUUGGUUUGGGGACUCCCAUGGGUACACACGCUGCCCCACUAUGACAUAUUUUAAAAUUCUUUUAUUACAAGAUUGUCCCAGAAAGCCAUUUUUGAGAAAGGUCAACCAUUCAAGGAUCCCAACCAAAAAACAAAACAAAACGAAACAAACAAACAAACCAGUGUUUCAAAAUAAAUUUAUCUUUCAGAUCCUUGCAACAGGGAAUUGCCCAAGAGGUUUUCUUUAAACUUAUAUGACAAUUAACAUCAUUUUGCAAGAGGACACUCGAAAAUACAAUAUGAGAGAGAGAGAGAGAGCUGCCUCUAGGAUAACCCAACAGCUUAUAAAACACAGCCUUCCACAUUUGUCCAUUUUUUUUUCAAAAGACCCAAAACUCUGAGUUGAAAUUUCACAACUUUUAAAUGUUGCAUAUCAAUUUGAAAGGUUUUUUAAAAGCAUUGUGCAGCUUUAGGCUC
Molecule: long non-coding RNA, 1509 nt
Organism: Microtus oregoni (creeping vole)
Lineage: Eukaryota; Metazoa; Chordata; Mammalia; Rodentia; Cricetidae
Exons: 3
Source: RefSeq, a predicted model, not a curated record